AGAGUUUGAUCAUGGCUCAGAACGAACGCUGGCGGCAGGCCUAACACAUGCAAGUCGAACGCUGUAGCAAUACAGAGUGGCAGACGGGUGAGUAACGCGUGGGAACCUUCCCAGUGGUGCGGAAUAGCCCAGGGAAACUUGGGGUAAUACCGCAUAAGCCCUUAGGGGGAAAGAUUUAUCGCCAUUGGAUGGGCCCGCGUCGGAUUAGCUAGUUGGUGAGGUAAUGGCUCACCAAGGCAACGAUCCGUAGCUGGUUUGAGAGAAUGACCAGCCACACUGGGACUGAGACACGGCCCAGACUCCUACGGGAGGCAGCAGUGGGGAAUCUUGGACAAUGGGCGCAAGCCUGAUCCAGCCAUGCCGCGUGAGUGACGAAGGCCUUAGGGUUGUAAAGCUCUUUUGCCGGGGACGAUAAUGACGGUACCCGGAGAAUAAGUCCCGGCUAACUUCGUGCCAGCAGCCGCGGUAAUACGAAGGGGACUAGCGUUGUUCGGAAUUACUGGGCGUAAAGCGCACGUAGGCGGAUUUGUAAGUCAGGGGUGAAAUCCCGGGGCUCAACCUCGGAACUGCCUUUGAUACUGCGAGUCUCGAGUCCGAUAGAGGUGGGUGGAAUUCCUAGUGUAGAGGUGAAAUUCGUAGAUAUUAGGAAGAACACCGGUGGCGAAGGCGGCCCACUGGAUCGGUACUGACGCUGAGGUGC
Molecule: ribosomal RNA, 700 nt
Filed under: uncultured bacterium
Lineage: Bacteria
Description: bacterial SSU rRNA
Rfam family: Bacterial small subunit ribosomal RNA
Source: RNAcentral